UCAUUUGAGAUUUUUUUUCAGAAACAGAAAAGCUCCCACUCUUUUCUCACUUUGUCGACAGCGACGAACAAACAACCUAUCUCACACGUUGACUCCUCUAUUUCUCCACGGCAGGUCUUCCUCCCAUACAUAGACUGAUAAGCUCUCCUCUCUCUCGACAGUAACAAAGGCUUGAUGCAAACGGCGUGCGGCAUCUUCAAUCUCAACCCAUGUAUAAUGUCUUACUGUUAUCUCGAGCCUAAAGUUUUGGAUGACAAAUUUGGCAAAACUAGAGUUUGCUGCCUUGGACCUUUCCGGGGACAACUAUUUAUCAUGGGUCCUGGAUGUCAAAAUUCAUCUACGAGCCAAUGGCUUCGGACAACUAUUUAUCAUGGGUCCUGGAUCAUUGCAUGGAUUCUUUCUUCGGAUGUUCAUUCUAAAGAAAUAAAAUCCCUUAUGAACA
This is a long non-coding RNA of Prunus dulcis (almond), 442 nucleotides long. RefSeq lists it as uncharacterized. Lineage: Eukaryota; Viridiplantae; Streptophyta; Magnoliopsida; Rosales; Rosaceae. The record is from RefSeq and is a predicted model, not a curated record. The transcript has 2 exons.